AACAGGAUUAGAUACCCUGGUAGUCCACGCCGUAAACGAUGUCGACUUGGAGGUUGUGCCCUUGAGGCGUGGCUUCCGGAGCUAACGCGUUAAGUCGACCGCCUGGGGAGUACGGCCGCAAGGUUAAAACUCAAAUGAAUUGACGGGGGCCCGCACAAGCGGUGGAGCAUGUGGUUUAAUUCGAUGCAACGCGAAGAACCUUACCUACUCUUGACAUCCAGAGAACUUUCCAGAGAUGGAUUGGUGCCUUCGGGAACUCUGAGACAGGUGCUGCAUGGCUGUCGUCAGCUCGUGUUGUGAAAUGUUGGGUUAAGUCCCGCAACGAGCGCAACCCUUAUCCUUUGUUGCCAGCGGUUCGGCCGGGAACUCAAAGGGGACUGCCAGUGAUAAACUGGAGGAAGGUGGGGAUGACGUCAAGUCAUCAUGGCCCUUACGAGUAGGGCUACACACGUGCUACAAUGGCGCAUACAAAGAGAAGCGACCUCGCGAGAGCAAGCGGACCUCAUAAAGUGCGUCGUAGUCCGGAUUGGAGUCUGCAACUCGACUCCAUGAAGUCGGAAUCGCUAGUAAUCGUAGAUCAGAAUGCUACGGUGAAUACGUUCCCGGGCCUUGUACACACCGCCCGUCACACCAUGGGAGUGGGUUGCAAAAGAAGUAGGUAGCUUAACCUUCGGGAGGGCGCUUACCACUUUGUGAUUCAUGACUGGGGUGAAGUCGUAACAAGGUAACC
RNAcentral lists this ribosomal RNA (730 nucleotides) under uncultured bacterium. RNAcentral's name for it is "bacterial SSU rRNA". It matches the Rfam family "Bacterial small subunit ribosomal RNA", at positions 771 to 1501 of the family's 1533-position model. The record is from RNAcentral.